UACGUAGGGUGCAAGCGUUGUCCGGAAUCAUUGGGCGUAAAGAGCGUGUAGGCGGCUCGGUAAGUCCGCUGUGAAAGUCCAGGGCUCAACCCUGGAAUGCCAGUGGAAACUGUCGAGCUAGAGUCCGGAAGAGGCGAGUGGAAUUCCUGGUGUAGCGGUGAAAUGCGCAGAUAUCAGGAGGAACACCAAUGGCGAAGGCAGCUCGCUGGGACGGUACUGACGCUGAGACGCGAAAGCGUGGGGAGCAAACAGG
Molecule: ribosomal RNA, 253 nt
Filed under: uncultured bacterium
Lineage: Bacteria
Description: partial 16S ribosomal RNA
Rfam family: Bacterial small subunit ribosomal RNA
Source: RNAcentral